This is a long non-coding RNA of Oncorhynchus kisutch (coho salmon), 2788 nucleotides long. RefSeq lists it as uncharacterized. The record is from RefSeq and is a predicted model, not a curated record. The transcript has 3 exons. NCBI's taxonomy places the organism in Eukaryota, Metazoa, Chordata, Actinopteri, Salmoniformes, Salmonidae.
UACUUUUUUACUUUUUUUUGUUGUUGUUGUGUGUUUUGUUUUUUAGUUAAUUUUUUUACAUUUACAUCAGCCAACAGCGGCUUCCCGCAUGCGCGAUUCAUUUGCAGUCUGGACAGGGAGGGGUGAACAUCUACUCUGGCUGCAGCUGGGAGGGACUGCUGCGUGAGGUCUGGGCCACCUGUGAGGCUUUGGGACGGCGGUGGGGCCCACGGCAGCACCCGCUGCAGCACCCGCUGCAGCACCCGCUGCAGCACCCGCUGCAGCACCCGCUGCAGCACCCGCUGCAGCACCCGCUGCUCGUUGAGAACAACUGCCAUUUUGGACCUUAGAAAAGUCAGGAACCACUAUCAGAAAACGUGAUUAAUUCCAGACCCUCUGGCUGUUGCACAAGUGGAUUACUGCCUAAUGACCAGUGGGACCUGGCUGGAGUUCAAAUUACGUGUCUGAUCAAAAUGACUACGGUGUUCAGCCUGUUGCACCUGCUUGGAUUCUCUAGGCUACUACAAUAUGUUCACAACUAUGGAGGUGUGAGCACAUUUUUUUGUUAUUUUUUGUUCAUUUCUUUAUCAAGGUUUGGUAAUUAUUCCAUAGUUAGGUCAUUGUGCCAUGCCAUUUAGAUAGAUAUAAGCUUAGUUUCUGGUUUCUUUCUGCAUAUUUUCCAACUUCAUGGCAGCAUAUACACACUAUAUUGUAUUGUUUCAUUUAUAUUUUUAUGUUUCUUAUUAUUAUUCAGCAUUUUGUGUUUAUCUGCUUGUAUGUUUUUCAUAGUAUUUGUUCAGGCCCAUAGAUUGACUGUGUCAUGUAGCAGUGCUCUAGUUCAGGCACAUGAACCUCUCCAUCCUACUGACGUGUCAUUAGAACUGCCACCCUCAGAACAGCUGGGUCACCCUCAUGAACUGCCACCCUCAGAACAGCUGGGUCACCCUCAUGAACUGCCACCCUCAGAACAGCUGGGUCACCCUCAUGAACUGCCACCCUCAGAACAGCUGGGUCACCCUCAUGGACUGCCACCCUCAGAACAGCUGGGUCACCCUCAUGAACUGCCACCCUCAGAAUAGCUGAUCACCCUCAUGGACUGCCACCCUCAGAACAGCUGGGUCACCCUCAUGGACUGCCACCCUCAGAACAGCUGGGUCACCCUCAUGGACUGCCACCCUCAGAACAGCUGGGUCACCCUCAUGGACUGCCACCCUCAGAACAGCUGGGUCACCUCAUGGACUGCCAUCCUCAGAACAGCUGGGUCACCCUUGUGAACUGCCACCCUCAGAACAGCUGGGUCACCCUCGUGAACUGCCACCCUCAGAACAGCUGGGUCACCCUCGUGGACUGCCACCCUCAGAACAGCUGGGUCACCUCAUGGACUGCCACCACCAUGGAUGGUCUGGUGGUAAGAACACAGCUCUUAGAUUUCACUUGGAUUUAAACUAAAUUAAUUAGGUAGUGUUGGAAAGUUACUUGAUUUAUGCAUAUGAUUUUAUUGUUGCACAUGGAAGGGAACACUAGCGCUACCUUGCUAUCUUGUCUUACUUUUAACAACAACAUAAGCACUUUUUUUGUCGUCCACUGUCCUCCAAGAGUUGUUGAAUUUCCGCUUCACUUGUGAUUUUAUUCUUGCCAGGACAAGCCGAUCUCCAGACAGUAUGCCAAGGCUAUGUUGCGACCUUUGUGUCACAUGACAAAUUAUUUUAUUGUGAGCAUGAUGGUUGGAAGGUACAUAUUUAAAUGUCCAGGUUUCGCUUAUCAGUUUAUUAUGAUGAUUGAUGCAGAUGCAUUCAUAUAUUAUUUUAACAGAUAGUAAGUAGGUCUGGGAUUUGCCAGGGACCGCACAAUACGAAACUAUCACGAUACUUAGGUGCAAAUACUAUAUGUAUUGCGAUUCUCAGGAUUCUAUAUGUAUUGCGAUUCUCAGGAUUCUAUAUGUAUUGUGAUUCUCAGGAUUCUAUAUGUAUUGUGAUUCUCAGGAUUCUACAUAUAUUGUGAUUCUCAGGAUUCCAUGUGUAUUGCGAUUCUCAGGAUUCUAUACGUAUUGUGAUUCUCAGGAUUCUAUAUGUAUUGUGAUUCUCAGGAUUCUAUAUGUAUUGUGAUUCUCAGGAUUCUACAUAUAUUGUGAUUCUCAGGAUUCCAUGUGUAUUGCGAUUCUCAGGAUUCUAUACGUAUUGUGAUUCUCAGGAUUCUAUAUGCAUUGUGAUUCUGAGGAUUCUAUAUGUAUUGCGACUCUCAGGAUUCUAUAUGUAUUGCUAUUGGAUGUUCCAAACAUAUUUCUCAUCAUGUGUCUUGGUGCAAAAGGACAAGAGAGCCCUGCAAAAGGACAAGAGAGCCCUGCAAAAGGACAAGAGAGCCCUGCAAAAGGACAAGAGAGCCCUGCAAAAGUUUUGAUCAGUCAUGGAAAAAAAAGUUGUGAAAAUAAAUUGGCUCCCUCUGUAGAAAGAAGAUGGAGAACAAGCUAUGAAGGAAAAAUACUGGAAUUUUGUUGCAGGUACAGCCAACUAGCACAAAGCGAAACGAUAUGUCGUCAAAAAUAAUAUCCCGAUAUGUAACUAUCACCUCCCCCAUCAGAUAGUGUGAUAUGUAUGCAUCAUUAUUUGCAUUCUGUUUUUGUUGUAUUGGUCUAGGGUUGAAUAACCAUGGAAGUGUAUAUACAACCCCCACCAGAGGGUGGUAGAGACUCACAAUUUCUUACACUUUCAAACAACUGUUCUGUUCAACACAAUAAUCUGAAGGAGUACAUGACACACCACCGUCUGCCUGGCAGCCAUUACCAUAGAAAGUGGUUUCAUGACAAGGCCAU